AUCAAUAAGCGGAGGAAAAGAAACUAACAAGGAUUCCCUCAGUAACGGCGAGUGAAGCGGGAAGAGCUCAAAUUUAAAAUCUGGUUUGCUUGCAAGCCCGAGUUGUAGUCUGAAGAAACGUUUUCCAUAAGCACUGAGGCAAAAGUCCCUUGGAACAGGGCAUCAUAGAGGGUGAGAAUCCCGUCCAUGGUCUCAAGUUGUUUAUUUUGUGAUACGUUUUCAAAGAGUCAGGUUGUUUGGGAAUGCAGCCUAAAAUGGGUGGUAAAUUUCAUCUAAAGCUAAAUAUUGGCGAGAGACCGAUAGCGAACAAGUACCGUGAGGGAAAGAUGAAAAGAACUUUGAAAAGAGAGUUAAACAGUACGUGAAAUUGUUGAAAGGGAACCGUUUGAAGCCAGUCUUACUUGCCUGUGAUCAAUUUUUGCCUCGGCAUGAAUGCACUCUCGGGUAUGGUAGGCCAACGACAGUUUGGAAUGCGAGAAAAAAAUAAGGGAAAUGUGGCCUUCGGGUGUUAUAGUCCCUUAUAAAAUAUCGUGUUCUGGACUGAGGAUCGCAGCAAAAAYGUGGGCAGGUGGAUUUCUGUGGUAACUGUCGGUUAGGACAACUUGUUGACCUAGUCUUCCUUAGCCUCACUAUUUACCUCGCUUCUAAUUUGCUUAGGUCGUUGGCAUAAUGGCUUUAAAUGAC
This 684-nucleotide ribosomal RNA is filed under the name Umbelopsis angularis. Its description in RNAcentral is "eukaryotic LSU rRNA". It matches the Rfam family "Eukaryotic large subunit ribosomal RNA", at positions 42 to 648 of the family's 3401-position model. The record is from RNAcentral. Lineage: Eukaryota; Fungi; Mucoromycota; Umbelopsidomycetes; Umbelopsidales; Umbelopsidaceae.